CCUACGGGGGGCAGCAGUGGGGAAUAUUGGACAAUGGGGGCAACCCUGAUCCAGCCAUGCCGCGUGUGUGAAGAAGGCCCUCGGGUUGUAAAGCACUUUCAGUGAGGAAGAACGCCUGGUGGUUAAUACCCAUCAGGAAAGACAUCACUCACAGAAGAAGCACCGGCUAACUCCGUGCCAGCAGCCGCGGUAAUACGGAGGGUGCGAGCGUUAAUCGGAAUUACUGGGCGUAAAGCGCGCGUAGGUGGCUUGAUAAGCCGGUUGUGAAAGCCCCGGGCUCAACCUGGGAACGGCAUCCGGAACUGUCAAGCUAGAGUGCAGGAGAGGAAGGUAGAAUUCCCGGUGUAGCGGUGAAAUGCGUAGAGAUCGGGAGGAAUACCAGUGGCGAAGGCGGCCUUCUGGACUGACACUGACGCUGAGGUGCGAAAGCGUGGGUAGCAAACAGGAUUAGAUACCCGUGUAGUC
RNAcentral lists this ribosomal RNA (465 nucleotides) under Vreelandella stevensii. RNAcentral's name for it is "partial 16S ribosomal RNA". It matches the Rfam family "Bacterial small subunit ribosomal RNA", at positions 338 to 795 of the family's 1533-position model. Lineage: Bacteria; Pseudomonadati; Pseudomonadota; Gammaproteobacteria; Oceanospirillales; Halomonadaceae. The record is from RNAcentral.